UCCAGACUCCUACGGGAGGCAGCAGUGGGGAAUAUUGGGCAAUGGGCGCAAGCCUGACCCAGCAACGCCGCGUGAAGGAAGAAGGCUUUCGGGUUGUAAACUUCUUUUAAGAGGGAAGAGCAGAAGACGGUACCUCUUGAAUAAGCCACGGCUAACUACGUGCCAGCAGCCGCGGUAAUACGUAGGUGGCAAGCGUUGUCCGGAUUUACUGGGUGUAAAGGGCGUGCAGCCGGGAGUGCAAGUCAGAUGUGAAAUCCCGCGGCUCAACCGCGGAACUGCAUUUGAAACUGUGCUUCUUGAGUGCUGGAGAGGCAGACGGAAUUCCUAGUGUAGCGGUGAAAUGCGUAGAUAUUAGGAGGAACACCAGUGGCGAAGGCGGAUUGCUGGACAGUAACUGACGCUGAGGCGCGAAAGCGUGGGGAGCAAACAGGAUUAGAUACCCCUGUAGG
Molecule: ribosomal RNA, 449 nt
Filed under: uncultured bacterium
Lineage: Bacteria
Description: bacterial SSU rRNA
Rfam family: Bacterial small subunit ribosomal RNA
Source: RNAcentral